This 561-nucleotide long non-coding RNA is filed under the name Manihot esculenta (cassava). RNAcentral describes it as "long non-coding RNA (MESC_LNC006864)". Lineage: Eukaryota; Viridiplantae; Streptophyta; Magnoliopsida; Malpighiales; Euphorbiaceae. The record is from RNAcentral.
AAAAAUAAUAAUUAAUGAUAAAUUGAUUUGAAAAUAAUAUAAAAUUAAAUAGAAUUAUAAUAAUUAACGGUAUAUUAUAAUAAUAAAAAAUUAAUAAAAUAAAAAAAUAAAAUAUUUUAUUUAUUUAAAUUAUACCCUUAACUAAAUUUAUGAGUUCCUCGCUGUUUCAAAAUGCAGCGAGCAAGUUGUAUCUUUGAUGAUAAAAAGGCUAGAAAAGAUAAAAUGAAGAAAUAGGGAUUUAUUUGGAUAUAUGAAAAGACAAAUUACCAAACAAUUGAUGGUGCAGUGGGAUAAGGGAUGAUGAGCAUUUGGACAAUCAACAUAUAAUAUUGCUGUCUUGUCCUUUAUUAGCCGGCCUUUUAAAUUUCUGACGAGGAUCUUAAUCAUGCAGCUCUUGUCUAGCAACCAUUCUUACCUUUUUCUCUUUAUAUUUUUCCCAUGUCAUCAUUUUGGCUCUGUCCUUUGGCUUUCUCUUUUAGUCAGGAAAACAUUCUUUCUUGACAAUGAAAUCGAUCUGUUUAUUUUUCUUUUUCUUUGCCAUCCAUAUUCAUCUGCUGAUGC